GUCUAUGGUCCUACCACCCUGAACGCACCCGAUCUCGUCUGAUCUCGGAAGCGAAGCAGGGUCAGGCCUGGUUAGUACUUGGAUGGGAGAGUUUCCAUCUCAUGACUGUAUAAAUA
This 116-nucleotide ribosomal RNA is filed under the name Carlito syrichta (Philippine tarsier). The record is from RNAcentral. Lineage: Eukaryota; Metazoa; Chordata; Mammalia; Primates; Tarsiidae.